This 3203-nucleotide long non-coding RNA is filed under the name Lupinus angustifolius (narrow-leaved blue lupine). RNAcentral's name for it is "long non-coding RNA (LANG_LNC001443)". Lineage: Eukaryota; Viridiplantae; Streptophyta; Magnoliopsida; Fabales; Fabaceae. The record is from RNAcentral.
CUAACUCUUCUCUUCUCUUCUCUUUGGUUCUUGUUUCUCACUUUUGCAUGUAAUGCAAUCAUCACCACACUUAUGAUGUAACAUGCAUUAAAAAUAUUACAAAGAUUAUUGCUAGCUGUUAACUUAGUUUUUUCUUCAAAUAAUUUAAAUACCAUAUCUCUAUCAUAUACAUAGAAUAGAGUCAAUACACUAAUAGAGUGUGGAUCGUUCUAUCUAUAUAGUUGAUACCACAGUUGAAACUGAGGUUUGGUUGCUGCUGUACCUGUAUCAUAGAAAUUCCCUUAGAAGAUUUCUAGAAAAGGUGGUGAGCAAGAAUAGUGAUACAGCAAUCCUUUUUGAAAAUGUAAAUUCUAAUUCUCAUUAUCCAUAGACUAAUACUACUAAAAAUUAGGGUAUUGAAUUAAGGAUCACAAGUGCAAUUGAGAUCACCACAUUGAGAUUUUGGUUGUCUUCACAUACAAGCAUUUCCCCUAGAAUUGCAGGAAAUGGAUCCUAACCAUAACCACAGCUAUAAUUUAAAAUUAUGCUAUACUUAUACAGUUUUUAUUUAAUUUUAUUGCUACGUAAAAUGUAUGAAUAUUUAUCCUAAGCAUAACCUUAACACCAUAAGAAAAAGUGCCUAUCAAAAAAAUCUUGCAGUGCCUUGUUACAUUAUCUUGUCUGUUUCAAUCACACAGAAAGAAAGAGACCGCACCAAAGAGUUGAGAAAGAAGAACGGAGAAAUGAAGGCAAAUCUAUACUCCCUCAGAAGUCAAAAGAUGGAGCUUGACAGAAACGUCUUGGAGUUGCAAUCCACCAUGGAUUCACUAAAAGAUGAGCAAAAAGUGAUGGAAUCUGCAUUUGAGGAGACACAGAAUGAACUCAGGAUAAUGCAACAAAAAAGUAUUGGACUAGGAGAUUCUGAAACAAUAGCUCUAAAAGAGAAUCUUAAGCAGAAGGAAGCAAAGAUAAAAGACUUGAAGGAGCAUCUUGAAAUCCAAUUUAAGAGCCGCACCAUAAGCAUUAAUGAUUCAUCCAUCUUUCCUGAAACUGUGACAGUAAAUACAACAAUGGCAGCAGAAUAUAAAACUGUGAAUGUGACUAUAGAAAAAGAUGAACACUCAGGUGACUCUGCCAAAUACGGGGGUGGUGCAAAGCAUAUUAUAAAUGAAGUUGCAAGUAAAAGCAAAUCAACUAUCAAAGACGGCGUAUUUACAAUUGAAUUACAAGAUGAAAUUCAGAAUGAUGAGAAACACAUAAAGAAAAAUGAACACCCUCAAGAUGAUGGCGGCACAGGUGUCACUGAAAAAGAUAUCAAGGCUGAAGUGGUGGAAGUUGGUGAAAAGAAAGUGAUCAAAGAAGAGCAGCCAAUACAGCUGAAGGGAAUUGCAGAUGGUGGGGGUCAGCAUUUUAAUGUGAAGCAAUUGGAAGACAACCCCAGUGCUGCUGGAGUGAAGAGGAAACAUAGCCAUUUAAUAAGUAGAACAAAGACGAAGCGCUGGAGAACCAUUGUCAAGAAUAGCUUGAUGGAGAACAAUGUGAUUCCUGAAAACCAUAAAGAGGUAAACAAGGGCAACAUAAUGGUUUCCGGAGAUGAGAAAGAUGAGGUGAAAGAUAGAACAAUGGGAAUAGUCUAUGAGGCAAAUGUAAUAAGAGAGGAUAAGGAAAGGGGCAAUAAUAACCAGAAACAAGAGGAGGGGCAUGUCAAAUUGCUGAAACCUGAAACAUGAUGAAAACAGAGAAGAUGCACUAAACAUUAUAGUGAAUAAUACAAAUCACCAGGUCACAAAUAACGGCACCACCACUUACCCAGAAAAGAGUGACCAGAUGAAAUAAGACAGUCCUGAGAGCAAGAAGUCAGUGUUGUCCAAUUGAACCGGAGCAUGGGGCGUAUCAACAAAGCCGAGAAGAAUGUUAGAGAAACAAAAUGCAACAUGCUUCAUGAAGAAACUGAAGAAAUAGAUGCUCCAGAUGUACAAAUUACAAAAGCAAAAGAAAGAAGAGAAUACCAAUCUGACUUCGAAAAUGAGAAAGAGUACAAGGGAGAUGGACUACUUUCACUCUGGUUUUUGAUUAAAUUGUAAAUUAAACUUACUCUGUUCAUCUAUUUGGUUGGGUGUGGUAUGCUUAGAUAUAUUUGAAAUUAGUAACAUGAAAGGUUUGUCAUCUUAUGAACUACUAAGUAGAUCUCAGUCAAAUCCGAUUUCACUAUUAUUGUAUUUAGUAACUCAGAUUUUUCAGUUUGCAUUUCUGCAGAUUUAUUUAUUUCACUAGUAAAACUUUGCAACAUCUAUGAUAUCAUGCUAGAGAUUAAAAAGGAUGCACAUAGGGAUUAAAACACAAAGCAGAAAGCCUAGUUUUGCAGAAACAGCAUGCCUAUAGAUUCAGAGCAGCCAAUUAAUUUAUCAGAUGCUCAUCUUUCGGAAAAUGACUGUUUUACUCGACCUAUUCUGGUGAGAAGCGAGAAACAUGAAUCUUAGUUUUCUUCUCAAGAAAUAUGUCACUAUUAAUUGCUCAGUUUUUGAAAACAUUGCCAAAUGAGUCUUUUUAAGGACUUAAUUCGUUACAUUCUGAAACUCACAGGGACUUAAUUUAAUACAAAUAUAUCGGGGUGACAUUGGUUAUUUUUCACAUGCUAAUUUGAUGAUAAUUUUUUUUCAAGGAUCAGAUUAAUAAGGCAUACAUCUUUCAAGGAUCAAAUUAAUAGUUAAAUCUAGAGUCAUUGUAGUAUUGAUGAAACCCAGCAAACAUUGCUUUCUACUUGUACUUUAUGUCAAUAUAAGUAAUUGGUGGCAAAAGGAGAAAUACAUGAAUUGGCAUAAAACGGCUAGAUAUGAAGUCACUUGUAACAAAUUUUCUGGAAAUAAUUAUCUUCCAAUAUUCAUUUGUCCACAAGGAGUAAUGGGUAACUAGCCAAAAGAAUACAAACAACACGGUCUGAAAAGUCUGGGCACAUCAUUAUUAGGAAAGCUGGGUUGUGAAUAUGCUCCAACCUCACUGUGGUACUGCCACCAAUUUCUGCAAAUAUCAAGGGCAUUCAAUGGGUAAAGACUAAAAUUAAACACCCCUCGGAGUAAGAUACAUAUGUGAUUAGCAUGACACUAAAUUGUUAAUGACAAAUUAGCAGUGUAUCUAAUUAAGGUUGACAAGUUUGGGUGGUAGUUGUGGUGGUAGUGGGGAUUUUCAUCUUACCUCAUGAACAGAUUACGAUUCUAAGUUCUGAC